CUGGGGCCGACGCCGACGCCCUGUGCCGGGAGGACGACGCCGAGCUGGCCCGCCCACGCACCGCCUCUUCGACGGCCCGCGACUUCGUCAGCCGGCAGCUACAGGCGGACUGGCGCGUGUGGAUCGGCGGCGAGAGGCGCGAGAAGCGCCAGCGGCGAUCCGCGUGGAGGUGGACGAACGGCAGCCCCGUGAGCUUCCCCGACGGCUGGCAUCACCGCGACGUGCCCCCCGGGCAGUGCCUGGCACUCCUCGGCGCCGACGACGCCCAGAGCGAGACAGCGGAGUGCGACACCGCCCUGCCCUUCCUCUGCCAGAGGAUUGAGUGACGCGCCCGUCGGGAGGCAGGCAGAAGCGGGGGCGCGGGACACACUGUACUAGGAGGAUGUAUAUAUAUUCUAUUUUAA
Molecule: long non-coding RNA, 404 nt
Filed under: Penaeus japonicus
Lineage: Eukaryota; Metazoa; Arthropoda; Malacostraca; Decapoda; Penaeidae
Description: uncharacterized LOC122261307
Source: RNAcentral